RNAcentral lists this ribosomal RNA (403 nucleotides) under uncultured bacterium. Its description in RNAcentral is "bacterial SSU rRNA". It matches the Rfam family "Bacterial small subunit ribosomal RNA", at positions 355 to 774 of the family's 1533-position model. The record is from RNAcentral.
UCGGGAAUAUUGCGCAAUGGAGGGAACUCUGACGCAGUGACGCCGCGUGCAGGAAGAAGGUUUUCGGAUUGUAAACUGCUUUAGACAGGGAAGAAAAAGGACAGUACCUGUAGAAUAAGCUCCGGCUAACUACGUGCCAGCAGCCGCGGUAAUACGUAGGGAGCAAGCGUUAUCCGGAUUUAUUGGGUGUAAAGGGUGCGUAGACGGGAAAUUAAGUUAGUUGUGAAAUCCCUCGGCUCAACUGAGGAACUGCAACUAAAACUGAUUUUCUUGAGUGCUGGAGAGGAAAGUGGAAUUCCUAGUGUAGCGGUGAAAUGCGUAGAUAUUAGGAGGAACACCAGUGGCGAAGGCGACUUUCUGGACAGUAACUGACGUUGAGGCACGAAAGUGUGGGGAGCAAACA